GGGCGGUACAGGCCGUAGCCCAGGCGAUGAUGCCGAGGGGUCCCAAGUGUCUCUGCGGUGGCAGGAGGUGCGAUGGGUGCGACGGAGCGAUGCCCAGCGAGGGCCAUGCCCAGCCAGCCCUUCCUCGCCCAAGAACCUGCGGGCAGCGGGGAACAGGCACCGUGCCAGGGCUCCGCGUGCCGACCAAGGAGGGGCCGAGCCCCACCAGCCCCGUCAGCCCAGCCGCCGUGCGGCCCCCGCCCGUGGUGGGCGGGCGGAGGCGGCGCUGCAGCGCCCGGCGGGGCUCGGCGCUGCGACGGGAGCGGUCGGAGCGCAGCGGAGCGGCCGCGAUGGGCGCCCCGGGCACGGCGGCGGAGCGGCGGCGACCGCGGCGGCGGCGGGGGCAGCUGCUGCGGGGGCAGCUGUGCACGCUGGCCGCGCUGGCCCUGCUUCUGGCCGGCUGCGUGGCCGGGCGUGGCGGUUACGAUGCCCUGAGAUAUUCUGUGGAAAAUGGUGACAAGUGGAGUGGGCGACAGCUCCUGCAAGCACGUGAGCAGAACAUGACUGACAUCCCAGAGGAUGGGGAGCAGCUCUAUGUCAGAAACUGCACUGAACCAGAUCCAUGA
RNAcentral lists this long non-coding RNA (605 nucleotides) under Cyanoderma ruficeps (rufous-capped babbler). RNAcentral's name for it is "lncRNA (ENSCRFG00000008213.1)". Lineage: Eukaryota; Metazoa; Chordata; Aves; Passeriformes; Timaliidae. The record is from RNAcentral.